RNAcentral lists this transfer RNA (75 nucleotides) under Schistocerca americana (American grasshopper). Its description in RNAcentral is "tRNA-Thr". It matches the Rfam family "tRNA". Rfam says of the family: Transfer RNA (tRNA) molecules are approximately 80 nucleotides in length. Their secondary structure includes four short double-helical elements and three loops (D, anti-codon, and T loops). RNAcentral also lists the same sequence under 1 other name. Lineage: Eukaryota; Metazoa; Arthropoda; Insecta; Orthoptera; Acrididae. The record is from RNAcentral.
GUCCUCGGUGGCUCAGAUGGAUAGAGCGUCUGCCAUGUAAGCAGCAGAUCCCGGGUUCGAAUCCCGGUCGGGACA